This 336-nucleotide ribosomal RNA is filed under the name uncultured bacterium. RNAcentral describes it as "bacterial SSU rRNA". It matches the Rfam family "Bacterial small subunit ribosomal RNA", at positions 1 to 334 of the family's 1533-position model. The record is from RNAcentral.
CUAGCGACUUCAGAGUUUGAUCCUGGCUCAGGACGAACGCUGGCGGCGUGCCUAACACAUGCAAGUCAACGGGGUAAUUUCUUCGGAGAUUACUUAGUGGCGAACGGGUGAGUAACGCGUGAGAAACCUGCCUUUCAGUGGGGGACAACAGUUGGAAACGACUGCUAAUACCGCAUGAUGUUUCGAGAGGGCAUCCUCUUGAAACCAAAGCUUAAUGUGCUGAAAGAUGGUCUCGCGUCUGAUUAGCUAGAUGGCGGGGUAACGGCCCACCAUGGCGACGAUCAGUAGCCGGUCUGAGAGGAUGAACGGCCACAUUGGGACUGAGAUACGGCCCAG